Molecule: microRNA precursor, 103 nt
Organism: Gorilla gorilla gorilla (western lowland gorilla)
Lineage: Eukaryota; Metazoa; Chordata; Mammalia; Primates; Hominidae
Source: Ensembl
AGAUGGUAUUGAGUGGAUGCUGUUAUAUAUACAGCCAUGCACUGUGUAGUUUGGGUGCACAGUGCAUGGCUGUAUAUAUAACACUAUCCGUUCAUCUUUCAGC